CUUUCAGUGGCGCAGCUAACGUUUUAAGUUGUCCGCCUGGGGAGUACGGCCGCAAGGCUAAAACUCAAAUGAAUUGACGGGGACCCGCACAAGCGGUGGAGCAUGUGGUUUAAUUCGAUGCAACGCGAAAAACCUUACCUACUCUUGACAUACUUGGAAGCUCUUGUAAUGAGAGUGUGCCUUUUGGAACCAAGAUACAGGUGCUGCAUGGCUGUCGUCAGCUCGUGUCGUGAGAUGGUCCGUUAAGUCGGAUAACGAGCGCAACCCUUACCCUUAUUUGCCAGCGAUUCGGUCGGGAACUAUAAGGGGACUGCCGGUGAUAAACCGGAGGAAGGUGAGGACGACGUCAAGUCAUCAUGGCCCUUACGAGUAGGGCUACACACGUGCUACAAUGGGGAAUACAGACGGACGCUAAGCCGCGAGGUGGUGCUAAUCCUAAAAAGUUCUUCGUAGUCCGGAUUGGAGUCUGCAACUCGACUCCAUGAAGUCGGAAUCGCUAGUAAUCGCGAAUCAGCAUGUCGCGGUGAAUACGUUCUCGGGUCUUGUACACACCGCCCGUCACACCAUGGUAAGUGGAUUG
Molecule: ribosomal RNA, 580 nt
Filed under: uncultured bacterium
Lineage: Bacteria
Description: bacterial SSU rRNA
Rfam family: Bacterial small subunit ribosomal RNA
Source: RNAcentral